RNAcentral lists this ribosomal RNA (301 nucleotides) under uncultured bacterium. RNAcentral describes it as "partial 16S ribosomal RNA". It matches the Rfam family "Bacterial small subunit ribosomal RNA", at positions 510 to 808 of the family's 1533-position model. The record is from RNAcentral.
AGCCGCCACGGUAAUACGUGGGGAGCUAGCGUUGUUCGGAAUUACUGGGCGUAAAGCGCGCGUAGGCGGCUUUUUAAGUCAGAGGUGAAAGCCCGGGGCUCAACCCCGGAAUUGCCUUUGAAACUGGAAAGCUAGAAUCUUGGAGAGGUCAGUGGAAUUCCGAGUGUAGAGGUGAAAUUCGUAGAUAUUCGGAAGAACACCAGUGGCGAAGGCGACUGACUGGACAAGUAUUGACGCUGAGGUGCGAAAGCGUGGGGAGCAAACAGGAUUAGAUACCCCUGUAGUCCCUGUCUCUUAUACA